GGGUUGUGAGGUUAAGCGACUAAGCGUACACGGUGGAUGCCCUGGCAGUCAGAGGCGAUGAAGGGCGUGCUAAUCUGCGAUAAGCGCCGGUAAGGUGAUAUGAACCGUUAUAACCGGCGAUACCCGAAUGGGGAAACCCAGUGUGAUUCGUCACACUAUCAUUAACUGAAUCCAUAGGUUAAUGAGGCGAACCGGGGGAACUGAAACAUCUAAGUACCCCGAGGAAAAGAAAUCAACCGAGAUUCCCCCAGUAGCGGCGAGCGAACGGGGAGGAGCCCAGAGCCUGAAUCAGCAUGUGUGUUAGUGGAAGCGUCUGGAAAGGCGCGCGAUACAGGGUGACAGCCCCGUACACAAAAGCGUAUGUGCUGUGAGCUCGAUGAGUAGGGCGGGACACGUGGUAUCCUGUCUGAAUAUGGGGGGACCAUCCUCCAAGGCUAAAUACUCCUGACUGACCGAUAGUGAACCAGUACCGUGAGGGAAAGGCGAAAAGAACCCCGGCGAGGGGAGUGAAAAAGAACCUGAAACCGUGUACGUACAAGCAGUGGGAGCACCCUUUGGGGUGUGACUGCGUACCUUUUGUAUAAUGGGUCAGCGACUUAUAUUCUGUAGCAAGGUUAACCGAAUAGGGGAGCCGGAGGGAAACCGAGUCUUAAUUGGGCGUUAAGUUGCAGGGUAUAGACCCGAAACCCGGUGAUCUAGCCAUGGGCAGGUUGAAGGUUGGGUAACACUAACUGGAGGACCGAACCGACUAAUGUUGAAAAAUUAGCGGAUGACCUGUGGCUGGGGGUGAAAGGCCAAUCAAACCGGGAGAUAGCUGGUUCUCCCC
RNAcentral lists this ribosomal RNA (826 nucleotides) under Salmonella enterica. RNAcentral describes it as "partial 23S ribosomal RNA". It matches the Rfam family "Bacterial large subunit ribosomal RNA", at positions 1 to 860 of the family's 2925-position model. Lineage: Bacteria; Pseudomonadati; Pseudomonadota; Gammaproteobacteria; Enterobacterales; Enterobacteriaceae. The record is from RNAcentral.